AAAUUGAAGAGUUUGAUCAUGGCUCAGAUUGAACGCUGGCGGCAGGCCUAACACAUGCAAGUCGAACGGUAGCACAGAGAGCUUGCUCUCGGGUGACGAGUGGCGGACGGGUGAGUAAUGUCUGGGAAACUGCCCGAUGGAGGGGGAUAACUACUGGAAACGGUAGCUAAUACCGCAUAACGUCGCAAGACCAAAGAGGGG
RNAcentral lists this ribosomal RNA (201 nucleotides) under Citrobacter freundii. RNAcentral describes it as "partial 16S ribosomal RNA". It matches the Rfam family "Bacterial small subunit ribosomal RNA", at positions 1 to 211 of the family's 1533-position model. The record is from RNAcentral. Lineage: Bacteria; Pseudomonadati; Pseudomonadota; Gammaproteobacteria; Enterobacterales; Enterobacteriaceae. RNAcentral also lists the same sequence under 1 other name.